Molecule: long non-coding RNA, 424 nt
Organism: Lycium barbarum (goji berry)
Lineage: Eukaryota; Viridiplantae; Streptophyta; Magnoliopsida; Solanales; Solanaceae
Exons: 3
Source: RefSeq, a predicted model, not a curated record
GAGAGAGAGAAAACAAGAGGGGCAACCAUUCGGCCAAGGGGGGCUGGCCGAAUAUGGUCCCCCAAUUUUUGAUCAAGAAGAAUUAUUUCUUCUCAAGCUUUCUUACUAACCAGAAGGUCCUCUAUAACGUGAAGUGGUCGUUGGGGCAAGCAAAGCGUUCAUUUUCGCAAAACACAAUUCUAGCGGAAGAAGGAAUUAAGUGGGAAAGAUUUUGGAGAAAUUGGAACUUGAAUUUGGAGGAGCGUAAGAAGCGGAAAAAGGUACACCCAGACGAGCAGAAGCUAGUAUAGAAGAGGUUCCAGCGAAGUUGGUAGACCCCACUUGUUCCUGGGAGUGCUGCCGAGUCAGAGCUUGUAUGCUAGGAUUUCUGGAUUGAUGCUAGAGACUUUGCAGACAGAGUCGUGGGUAUCGGGAGUCAGUUUGU